Molecule: ribosomal RNA, 433 nt
Filed under: uncultured bacterium
Lineage: Bacteria
Description: partial 16S ribosomal RNA
Rfam family: Bacterial small subunit ribosomal RNA
Source: RNAcentral
AACGAACGCUGGCGGCAUGCCUAACACAUGCAAGUCGAACGAGACCUUCGGGUCUAGUGGCGCACGGGUGCGUAACGCGUGGGAACCUGCCCUUAGGUUCGGAAUAACUCCCCGAAAGGGGUGCUAAUACCGGAUAAUGUCUUCGGACCAAAGAUUUAUCGCCUUUGGAUGGGCCCGCGUUGGAUUAGCUAGUUGGUAGGGUAAAAGCCUACCAAGGCGACGAUCCAUAGCUGGUCUGAGAGGAUGAUCAGCCACACUGGGACUGAGACACGGCCCAGACUACUACGGGAGGCAGCAGUGGGGAAUAUUGGACAAUGGGCGAAAGCCUGAUCCAGCAAUGACGCGUGAGUGAUGAAGGCCUUAGGGUUGUAAAGCUCUUUUACCCGGGAUGAUAAUGACAGUACCGGGAGAAUAAGCUCCGGCUAACUCCGUG